Molecule: ribosomal RNA, 460 nt
Filed under: uncultured bacterium
Lineage: Bacteria
Description: partial 16S ribosomal RNA
Rfam family: Bacterial small subunit ribosomal RNA
Source: RNAcentral
CCUACGGGAGGCAGCAGUGAGGAAUAUUGGUCAAUGGCCGCAAGGCUGAACCAGCCAAGCCGCGUGAAGGAAGAAGGAUUUCUGGUUUGUAAAUUUCUUUUAUAGGGGAAUAAAGGUAUCCACGCGUGGAUAUUUGCAUGUACCCUACUACUAAGCAUCGGCUAACUUCGUGCCAGCAGCCGCGGUAAUACGUAGGUUGCGAGCGUUAUCCGGAUUUAUUGGGUUUAUAGGGUGCGUAGGUUGUCUUAUAAGUCAGCGGUGAAAGUUUGUGGCUCAACCAUGAAAUUGCCGUUGAAACUGGAGGACUUGAGUGUGUUAGAGGUAGGCGGAAUGCGUGGUGUAGCGGUGAAAUGCAUAGAUAUCACGCAGAACACCGAUUGCGAAGGCAGCUUACUAGGCCAUAACUGACACUGAGGCGCGAAAGCGUGGGGAUCAAACAGGAUUAGAUACCCUGGUAGUC